GACGAACGCUGGCGGCGUGCCUAACACAUGCAAGUCGAGCGGGGACAUAAUAAGUAGUAAUACGAAUUAUGUUCUAGCGGCGGACGGGUGAGUAACGCGUGAGCAAUCUGUCUCUUACAGGGGGAUAACGCAUCGAAAGAUGUGCUAAUACCGCAUAAGACCACGACAAGGACAUCUUGAUGAGGUCAAAGGAGCAAUUCGGUAAGAGGUGAGCUCGCGUCUGAUUAGCUAGUUGGUGGGGUAACGGCUCACCAAGGCAACGAUCAGUAGCCGACCUGAGAGGGUGAUCGGCCACACUGGAACUGAGACACCGUCCAGACUUCUACGGGAGGCAGCAGUGGGGAAUAUUGGGCAAUGGGGGAAACCCUGACCCAGCAACGCCGCGUGAAGGAAGAAGGUUUUCGGAUCGUAAACUUCUAUCCUAGGUGAAGAUAAUGACGGUAGCCUAGAAGGAAGCCCCGGCUAACUACGUGCCAGCAGCCGCGGUAAUACGUAGGGGGCAAGCGUUGUCCGGAAUGAUUGGGCGUAAAGGGCGCGUAGGCGGCCAACUAAGUCUGAAGUGAAAGUCCUGCUUUUAAGGUGGGAAUUGCUUUGGAAACUGGAUGGCUUGAGUGCAGGAGAGGUUAGUGGAAUUCCCGGUGUAGCGGUGAAAUGCGUAGAGAUCGGGAGGAACACCAGUGGCGAAGGCGACUAACUGGACUGUAACUGACGCUGACGGCGCGAAAGUGUGGGGAGCAAACAGGAUUAGAUACCCUGGUAGUCCACACUGUAAACGAUGAAUGCUAGGUGUAGGGGGUAUCGACCCCUUCUGUGCCGGAGUAAACACAAUAAGCAUUCCGCCUGGGGAGUACGGCCGCAAGGUUG
RNAcentral lists this ribosomal RNA (864 nucleotides) under uncultured bacterium. Its description in RNAcentral is "bacterial SSU rRNA". It matches the Rfam family "Bacterial small subunit ribosomal RNA", at positions 28 to 896 of the family's 1533-position model. The record is from RNAcentral.